This 880-nucleotide ribosomal RNA is filed under the name uncultured Bacillota bacterium. RNAcentral's name for it is "bacterial SSU rRNA". It matches the Rfam family "Bacterial small subunit ribosomal RNA", at positions 56 to 930 of the family's 1533-position model. Lineage: Bacteria; Bacillati; Bacillota. The record is from RNAcentral.
UGCAAGUCGAGUGCGCAGUCUCCUGUAGCAAUACAGGGGAUGGGCGCACGGCGCACGGGUGCGUAACACGUGGGUAACCUGCCCUCUGAUGGGGGAUAACCCCGCGAAAGCGGGGCUAAUACCGCAUGACAUUCCGAGAAUCUCGGUUCUUGGAUUCAAAGCCCGCAAGGGCGUCGGAGGAGGGGCCCGCGCCCGAUUAGCUUGUUGGUGAGGUAACGGCUCACCAAGGCUGUGAUCGGUAGCCGGUCUGAGAGGACGACCGGCCACACUGGAACUGAGACACGGUCCAGACUCCUACGGGAGGCAGCAGUGGGGAAUCUUGCGCAAUGGGCGAAAGCCUGACGCAGCGACGCCGCGUGGGGGAUGAAGCCCUUCGGGGUGUAAACCCCUUUCGACCCGGACGAAUGGCCCGCAAGGGAGUUGACGGUACGGGUAGAAGAAGCCCCGGCUAACUACGUGCCAGCAGCCGCGGUAAAACGUAGGGCGCCAGCGUUGCUCGGAAUUACUGGGCGUAAAGGGUCCGUAGGCGGUGUGGCAAGUCGGGAGUGAAAUCUCAUGGCUUAACUGUGAGACUGCUUCCGAAACUGCUGUGCUCGAGUGCGGGAGAGGCGAGUGGAAUUGCCGGUGUAGCGGUGAAAUGCGUAGAUAUCGGCAGGAACACCCGUGGCGAAGGCGGCUCGCUGGACCGCAACUGACGCUGAGGGACGAAAGCUAGGGGAGCAAACAGGAUUAGAUACCCUGUAGUCCUAGCCCUAAACCAUCAGGACUUGGCGUGCAUCCCGUUCGGGGUGCGUGCCGGAGCUAACGCGUUAAGUCCUGCGCCUGGGGAGUACGGUCGCAAGGCUGAAACUCAAAGGAAUUGACGGGGGCCCGCACAAGC